RNAcentral lists this ribosomal RNA (428 nucleotides) under uncultured eukaryote. RNAcentral describes it as "bacterial SSU rRNA". It matches the Rfam family "Eukaryotic small subunit ribosomal RNA", at positions 328 to 759 of the family's 1831-position model. The record is from RNAcentral.
GCGGGGUAGAGGCCCGCCGCGGUAACGACGGGUAACGGGGAAUCAGGGUUCGAUUCCGGAGAGGGAGCCCGAGAAACGGCUACCACUUCCAAGGAAGGCAGCAGGCGCGCAACUUACCCUAAUCUCGAUUCGAGGAGGUAGUGACAAGAAAUACCGAUGCGGGACCCUACGGGUGCCGCGUUCGGAAUGAGUACGAUUCGAACCACCUAACGAGGAACGAUCGGAGGGCAAGUCUGGUGCCAGCAGCCGCGGUAAUUCCAGCUCCAAUAGCGUACGUUAAAGUUGCUGCAGUUAAAAAGCUCGUAGUUGAACGUUCGGGUUCCGCGGGACGGGGCCGCCCCGCGAGGGACGGCGCCGCCCCGGGGCUCGUGAUAUCUCAUCUCGCCGCCCGUCGCGAGGCGGACGGAGGGAUGGAUGAGGUUACCUGG